RNAcentral lists this long non-coding RNA (143 nucleotides) under Naja naja (Indian cobra). Its description in RNAcentral is "lncRNA (ENSNNAG00000002071.1)". Lineage: Eukaryota; Metazoa; Chordata; Lepidosauria; Squamata; Elapidae. The record is from RNAcentral.
CAGCAAGUUCAGAGGAAGGUAGUCUUUUUACAGUGACAGAUUUUGCUACUUGGGGGCCAGCAUGGAGCUCAUCUUUGCAGAUCAGUUUUUUUCCAAAAAUCCAUGAACUUCUAAGUCACAUUUCAAAGGCGAGAUAAGAACCA